ACGCUGGCGGCGUGCUUAACACAUGCAAGUCGAACGAUGAAGCCUAGCUUGCUAGGUGGAUUAGUGGCGAACGGGUGAGUAAUACGUGAGUAACCUACCUUUAACUCUGGGAUAAGCCCGGGAAACUGGGUCUAAUACCGGAUACGACCAAUCUCCGCAUGGGGUGUUGGUGGAAAGCGUUAUGUAGUGGUUAUAGAUGGGCUCACGGCCUAUCAGCUUGUUGGUGAGGUAACGGCUCACCAAGGCGACGACGGGUAGCCGGCCUGAGAGGGUGACCGGCCACACUGGGACUGAGACACGGCCCAGACUCCUACGGGAGGCAGCAGUGGGGAAUAUUGCACAAUGGGCGCAAGCCUGAUGCAGCGACGCCGCGUGAGGGAUGACGGCCUUCGGGUUGUAAACCUCUGUUAGCAGGGAAGAAGAGAGAUUGACGGUACCUGCAGAGAAAGCGCCGGCUAACUACGUGCCAGCAGCCGCGGUAAUACGUAGGGCGCGAGCGUUGUCCGGAAUUAUUGGGCGUAAAGAGCUUGUAGGCGGUUUGUCGCGUCUGCUGUGAAAGGCCGGGGCUUAACUCCGUGUAUUGCAGUGGGUACGGGCAGACUAGAGUGCAGUAGGGGAGACUGGAAUUCCUGGUGUAGCGGUGGAAUGCGCAGAUAUCAGGAGGAACACCGAUGGCGAAGGCAGGUCUCUGGGCUGUAACUGACGCUGAGAAGCGAAAGCAUGGGGAGCGAACAGGAUUAGAUACCCUGGUAGUCCAUGCCGUAAACGUUGGGCACUAGGUGUGGGGGACAUUCCACGUUUUCCGCGCCGUAGCUAACGCAUUAAGUGCCCCGCCUGGGGAGUACGGCCGCAAGGCUAAAACUCAAAGAAAUUGACGGGGGCCCGCACAAGCGGCGGAGCAUGCGGAUUAAUUCGAUGCAACGCG
RNAcentral lists this ribosomal RNA (925 nucleotides) under uncultured bacterium. Its description in RNAcentral is "bacterial SSU rRNA". It matches the Rfam family "Bacterial small subunit ribosomal RNA", at positions 33 to 963 of the family's 1533-position model. The record is from RNAcentral.